This 442-nucleotide ribosomal RNA is filed under the name uncultured bacterium. Its description in RNAcentral is "bacterial SSU rRNA". It matches the Rfam family "Bacterial small subunit ribosomal RNA", at positions 958 to 1398 of the family's 1533-position model. The record is from RNAcentral.
AACGCGAAGAACCUUACCUGGGCUCGAACGGCUUCUCAACGGCGGUGGAAACACCGCUAUCCCUUAAAAGAGUGGAGUCGAGGUGCUGCAUGGCUGUCGUCAGCUCGUGUCGUGAGAUGUUGGGUUAAGUCCCGCAACGAGCGCAACCCUUGUCCUGUGUUGCCACCCCGUAAGGGAGCACUCGCAGGAGACCGCCGAUAUUCAAAUCGGAGGAAGGUGGGGACGACGUCAAGUCAUCAUGGCCCUUAUGUCCAGGGCUACACACGUGCUACAAUGAUUGCUACAGAGCGCUGCAAACCCGCGAGGGGGAGCCAAUCGCAAAAAAGCAAUCUCAGUACAGAUAAGAGUCUGCAACUCGACUCUUUGAAGUCGGAAUCGCUAGUAAUCCCUGAUCAGCAGGCAGGGGUGAAUACGUUCCCGGGCCUUGUACACACCGCUAGUC